AAGUCGUAACAAGGUAACCGUAGGUGAACCUGCGGUUGGAUCAUUAAAAAAUAUUUGGUCUCGUGCCAAAUCAACAUCUGUGUGCACCAUUGUCUGUCCUUGGCAGUUCGAGUUGCCUUUCCCGGAGCUCAACACUCUGGGAUCGGCCUACCUCCCGCCUCGUGCGGGGGUUUGGGCUGCCGCCUUUUUUUAUGAAGAACCUUUUGUUAUUUUUUGUCUGAACGAAGAGUUAAUCUUUUUUGAUUAAUGAUUUGAAUACAACUUUUGACAACGGAUCUCUUGGCUCUC
This 288-nucleotide unclassified non-coding RNA is filed under the name Rhizophlyctis rosea. RNAcentral describes it as "partial internal transcribed spacer region". The stretch from base 1 to 46 matches the Rfam family "Eukaryotic small subunit ribosomal RNA", at positions 1786 to 1831 of the family's 1831-position model. The record is from RNAcentral. Lineage: Eukaryota; Fungi; Chytridiomycota; Chytridiomycetes; Rhizophlyctidales; Rhizophlyctidaceae.